Molecule: long non-coding RNA, 1825 nt
Filed under: Phoenix dactylifera (date palm)
Lineage: Eukaryota; Viridiplantae; Streptophyta; Magnoliopsida; Arecales; Arecaceae
Description: long non-coding RNA (PDAC_LNC013814)
Source: RNAcentral
AUUUCGAACCGGCCGGAAUCGGUCCUGAACGCAUAGGAACCGGUCUCGAACCGGUAGGAACCAGUCACAGCGGGCUGGAACCGGUUGCAAACUGUCUGGACUUAGUUUGAACCGGCCGGUUCCAUGCUGAACUGGUGUGAACCGUCCGGUUCACACCGAGUCGGACCAGUUCCGAACCGCCCUCCACCCCCUCUCUUUUGUUUUAAAGACUGGUCGGGAGUGCCUGAGAAGUUUUUCAAGCCUUCCCAACCUAUCCGAAUAUGUUUUCUUCCUCAUAGUGAAAAAUAUGCUGAUUUAGCACGAUUGAAGGAGAAUUCAAUCCUAAAUAAGGUAUGCUUCCUCUCUCCAUCUCAUUUCUUUGUUUUCGACGUUAAAAAAUAUCUUGAAAUUUGCAAAAUAAGGAGAGAUUAUACUAAUUUUUUUUGAUUUUGGCUUUAUUUUAUGAUGUGUUGUAGAUCUAUGGAUGAUUUACAUGAUGACAUAAAAAUUUUUAAAAUAUUUUUUUAGAUUAAAAAUAGUACUAAAAAAAUUUAAAAAUAUAAAAUUAAAAGCAUAUUUAGGAGCAUGUAAGCUACUCUCUAGCUAAAUUUGGUAUCCAUUUAUUUAAGUUUUGAUGCAGUCAUGCACAUAUUGGCUUAGGCCUAAAUUUGAAAAAAUUAAGAAAUAAGUAGCCUUUGAUGCAUGCCUAUGAGCUUAGAAAUAUAUGUGUAGCAUCCAUAAUCAGGUUCUACAUGGAUCUAAGCUCAAAUUAAUUUUUUAAAAUAUUUAUAUUUAAAAAUUAUUUUUUAAUUUAAAAAAUAAUUAAAAAUAUAUAAUUAAUUCUAAAAAUUAUGAAAAAUUAGCAGUACGUAAUACAUUUCAGAAGUACUUUCAGAAGUAAAACAUAUUUCUUUUGAAUUUAUGGUAUUUAAAUAUACAUUUUAAUUAAAAAUUAUUAAAAAUAUAUAAAUGACAGUUCUGGUGGCCAUGGAUCUGCUGGUCUGAGAGCGAGUAGAAGACAUGAGACUAUCGUUUAUGAGACAGCCGCAAUUGCAGAGUGGUCUUCGAUUUACCGGUGAGUCGUAGUUUACACAUGUUACACAGGAUAGCGAUCAUAGUACACGAUUUGGUAGAUUCUACAAGGAUAUGACUGCAUGUAGGAGACGGGUUCCUCGAAGUCAUUUAGGAGGAUACGAUGCAGCUAUAGAUAACCUUGCAUGUGGAGCAGGAUGCAUAGAUGUAUCAGGUUUUGAGUCGUAUAUUGGAUUCUAUUACCUACAAUCGCAGGCAGCCUAUGAUCCAUGCAAAUAGGGAUAUGGAUAUGGUGCGUUUGAGAGGCAUCGUCUUCCAGUGUUAGCCAUGGAAUUUCAUCCACAUUUGAUGAUGAUGAUCAGCCAAAGGGGGAAAAGAAAUUGGUUUAGGGAUCUGAAGUCAUGAUUAAGAGGAACCAGCCAAUGAUUGGGAGGACUCCGACUUAUCCUUCAACGGAUCCAGGUUUCUGACUUCUCUUCCAACAGAUCUCUCUCUCUUUAUGCUAAUUCUUCUUCUCCUCUUUCUCCUUGUCCUCCUUUUUCUUCCUCCCCCUCCUCUCUCUCCUUGCUGUUGGAGUUGUUGCUAUUGCUGCCCUGCUGCUAGUGCUGCUAUUCCUUCUCCUUCCCCUUCCUACUGCUGGAGUUGCUGCCACUGCCGCCCUACUGCCGGUCUUCCUCCUCUUCUUGUUCUUCCUUCUCCUCCCUUACCCUGCUGCUGGAGCUUCUUCUACUACUGCCAGUGCUGCUGUUCCUCCUCCUCCUCCUUCUCCUUCUCCUUCUCCUUUUUAUUCUUCGUCCCUUUCCUGCAGCCAGAG